CCACGGGAGGCUGCAGUGGGGAAUAUUGGACAAUGGGCGAAAGCCUGAUCCAGCCAUGCCGCGUGUGUGAAGAAGGCCUUCGGGUUGUAAAGCACUUUCAGUGGGGAAGAAAGCCUUGGGGCUAAUACCCUCGAGGAAGGACAUCACCCACAGAAGAAGCACCGGCUAACUCCGUGCCAGCAGCCGCGGUAAUACGGAGGGUGCGAGCGUUAAUCGGAAUUACUGGGCGUAAAGCGCGCGUAGGCGGUCUGAUAAGCCGGUUGUGAAAGCCCCGGGCUCAACCUGGGAACGGCAUCCGGAACUGUCAGGCUAGAGUGCAGGAGAGGAAGGUAGAAUUCCCGGUGUAGCGGUGAAAUGCGUAGAGAUCGGGAGGAAUACCAGUGGCGAAGGCGGCCUUCUGGACUGACACUGACGCUGAGGUGCGAAAGCGUGGGUAGCAAACAGGAUUAGAUACCCGAGUAGUC
RNAcentral lists this ribosomal RNA (464 nucleotides) under Vreelandella stevensii. Its description in RNAcentral is "partial 16S ribosomal RNA". It matches the Rfam family "Bacterial small subunit ribosomal RNA", at positions 339 to 795 of the family's 1533-position model. Lineage: Bacteria; Pseudomonadati; Pseudomonadota; Gammaproteobacteria; Oceanospirillales; Halomonadaceae. The record is from RNAcentral.